This is a small nucleolar RNA of Cebus imitator (Panamanian white-faced capuchin), 70 nucleotides long. NCBI's taxonomy places the organism in Eukaryota, Metazoa, Chordata, Mammalia, Primates, Cebidae. The record is from Ensembl.
UUGCAGUGAUGUAGAAUUUCUUCACCUGAAAUGAUUAGAGUAAAAGCGAGUUUUUUAACACUGAGUCAAC